Molecule: long non-coding RNA, 311 nt
Organism: Ostrea edulis (European flat oyster)
Lineage: Eukaryota; Metazoa; Mollusca; Bivalvia; Ostreida; Ostreidae
Exons: 3
Source: RefSeq, a predicted model, not a curated record
AAAUUACAUGGGAAGAAACCUGUUUCUAGGUGAUCAAUGGAUAUUGGAAGUGAAAGAACAUUCAAAGCAGAAAGAUGGCUGUAGUUGUGGGGUGUAUUGUUUAAUGUAUACAGAAAGAUAAAGAGAAUCUCUCCUGAAUAUACGUACAGAAGAUGUUGAGAGAAAAAGGUCGGAAGUAGGUUCUACUCUUCUUGUUGUUUGACGGGUACAUGGUUGAUCGCUGCCCUUGUUGUGGGCUUACGCUAGAGGAUGGUAAAGGUGAUAUGGUGAACAACUGUAAUAUACAUGUAUUGUUGCUUAUUAACUGUCAG